AUCCCAUGACGAGGACACUUAUGAAGUAACUCCUUGAAUCGCUUCCAAGCUUCAUACAAAGACUCGUCAUCCAAUUGUUGGAAAUUUUUAUCUCGUUCCUUAAGUU
Non-coding RNA from Gossypium raimondii (Peruvian cotton), 106 nucleotides. Lineage: Eukaryota; Viridiplantae; Streptophyta; Magnoliopsida; Malvales; Malvaceae. The record is from Rfam.